CUCUCGUCCUCCCUUUCUCUUCCUUUCUUCUCUCCUUCCCCCUUCUUCUCCCUCCCUCCCUCCCUCCCUCCCUCCCUUCCUUCCUUCCUUCCUUCCUUCCUUCUUUUUCAAACAGAACACAGGCAAACUCAGGCCACUUUCUACACGUUGUUGUCUUCUCAGACGGAACCUCAACGUAGGUGCAUUGGGUGAUGGAGUCUUCCAGGCAUGGUACCAGCAUGGAAAGAGAGACAAAAAGACAGUAAAAAUAGAUAGGAAGGAAGGAGAAAGGAGGGAGGAAUGGAGAGGAGGAUGGAAGGGAGAGGAGGAAGGGAAGAGAAAGAGGAAGGAAGGGAGGACAGGGAGAA
This 347-nucleotide small RNA is filed under the name Marmota monax (woodchuck). The record is from RNAcentral. Lineage: Eukaryota; Metazoa; Chordata; Mammalia; Rodentia; Sciuridae.